AGGCGUGGACAAUAUGGUACACCA
RNAcentral lists this non-coding RNA (24 nucleotides) under Arabidopsis thaliana (thale cress). Lineage: Eukaryota; Viridiplantae; Streptophyta; Magnoliopsida; Brassicales; Brassicaceae. The record is from RNAcentral.